UACGGGGGGGGCAAGCGUUGUUCGGAAUUACUGGGCGUAAAGGGCGCGUAGGCGGUUUGCUAAGUUGGAUGUGAAAACUCUGGGCUUAACCCAGAGCCUGCAUCCAAAACUGGCAAACUUGAGUACUGGAGGGGAAAGCGGAAUUCCUGGUGUAGCGGUGAAAUGCGUAGAUAUCAGGAGGAACACCGGUGGCGAAGGCGGCGACCUGGGUCGACACUGACGCUGAGGCGCGAAAGCGUGGGGAGCAAACAGG
RNAcentral lists this ribosomal RNA (253 nucleotides) under uncultured bacterium. RNAcentral describes it as "partial 16S ribosomal RNA". It matches the Rfam family "Bacterial small subunit ribosomal RNA", at positions 524 to 776 of the family's 1533-position model. The record is from RNAcentral.